Coregonus clupeaformis (lake whitefish) is the source of this 1085-nucleotide RNA transcript. It is a transcript of the gene named adenylate kinase 2, mitochondrial, with no coding region annotated. Lineage: Eukaryota; Metazoa; Chordata; Actinopteri; Salmoniformes; Salmonidae. The record is from RefSeq and is a predicted model, not a curated record. The transcript has 7 exons.
AAUCCUAUACAGACAGAAAGAAGUCGGUGACACUUCCUUUCUUGGUCGAGUUGGCAGAAAAUAAAAGUGGCAAAAGGACGAUUAAAGUGAACAUGGCCCCCAGUACGCAACUGAAUGAAGCAGUGUCCGACGUAAAAAAGGGAAUUCGGGCAAUCCUUCUCGGACCCCCUGGUGCUGGGAAAGGAACUCAGGCUCCUCGGUUGGCAGAGCAGUACUGCGUGUGUCAUCUGGCCACUGGGGACAUGCUGAGGGCCAUGGUGGCGUCUGGCUCUGAACUCGGCAAGAGGCUCAAGGAGACCAUGGAUACCGGGAAACUGGUCAGUGACGAGAUGGUGGUAGAACUCAUAGAAAAGAACCUGGACACGCCUCCCUGUAAGAAGGGGUUCCUAUUGGACGGAUUCCCCCGCACAGUGAAACAAGCAGAGAUGCUGGAUAACUUGCUGGAGAAGCGCACAGAGAAGCUAGACUCUGUAAUUGAGUUCUCCGUCGAUGACUCCCUACUGGUGCGGAGGAUCUGUGGCAGACUAAUUCACCAGCCUAGCGGUCGCUCCUACCACGAGGAGUUCAACCCACCCAAAGAGCCCAUGAAGGAUGACGUGACAGGGGAGCCGCUGAUGCGCCGCAGCGACGACAACGCGUCGACGCUGCGCUCGCGGCUGGAGGCCUACCACCGGCAGACGAUGCCCCUAGUCAAGUACUACAGCGCCCGCGGCCUGCACAAGGCCAUUGACGCCGCCCAGUCCCCCGACGUCGUCUUCGCCUCCAUCCUCGCCGCCUUUUCUUCGGCCACAGCCGCCACCCGUAAAGACCUGGUGCUCUUCGUCUAAGCUCCCUACCAUUUCUCCUCUUCAGUCUCUCCUUCACUCUCAGGACUCUGCUGUCUGAAUCCCUGCUUCUCCAAUCCUGGCAAUGGAAACAAGGGAGGGAGGGGAAGGAGGAAAUGUUGUACUUAAUUUUGAAAUGUUUCUGGAGGAUGAGCACGCAUAAUGCAGUGCAUUCUACCAGGAAUAAGUGGAGCCAUCUUGAAAUUGACUUUGAUUGUUACCCUUCUAAUAAAAAAAGAAGCUUUUCUACAAUCACGACAA